AAAUCCGUCGACUUUAGAAAUCGUG
This 25-nucleotide transfer RNA is filed under the name Elaeodendron australe var. integrifolium. RNAcentral's name for it is "partial tRNA-Leu". Lineage: Eukaryota; Viridiplantae; Streptophyta; Magnoliopsida; Celastrales; Celastraceae. The record is from RNAcentral.